Long non-coding RNA from Bacillus rossius redtenbacheri, 2119 nucleotides. RefSeq lists it as uncharacterized. The record is from RefSeq and is a predicted model, not a curated record. The transcript has 3 exons. Lineage: Eukaryota; Metazoa; Arthropoda; Insecta; Phasmatodea; Bacillidae.
AUAUAAUAAAAGUAUUUUCGGAUUUUUAACAUUUUUUUCGCAAAUACCGCUUAACUACAUAUUUACCGCCUUCACUUUAAAAUUCGAGUGCACGAUCGAAAACAGUCACUACUUUAGGCUUUUUGAGCAUACAAGGCUUACAUUUACAAAAAAUAUCUUUCAUACGAAAGCGUCACGAUCUAUGUAAACAAUAACAUAGACUUGCCUUUGUUCUUAUUCUCCUCGUGACAUGGCCGUAGUAGUAAUCUGUGCAGCCAGAGAUUAACUCACACGUUUUACAAAACAUUUUUCGCAGGCGGUAAUUUCAUUUUAAGGUAUCGAUUCUCAUAUUAAAUAAACCGUAAAUGGGACCGAGUCGUAUGGAAAUGUUAAACUGAUGAAAUACAGGAAGAAAACUAUGAUUUUAAGCGUAAACGUGAUAGCGAAGUAUACAACUCGAUUCUUGAAUCGAUACUUUCGAACUCAAAAAACGUCUCGCAAAAGUCGUAUUUAUACAGUUGGUACCGAAGCCAUUAUGUUUGUUUUGAUACAUGAACGAAGAUGAAAAGUGGUUAAUAAAGUAGUCUUUAGGUGGGAAAUUUGUGUUUAGGAAUCUGUACUGAUUAUUAAAUGUUGUCUAUGUUGUUAUUAAUUUAAUUGACCUUUCCAGUCAAAAAAUCGUGUACAAGUAAGCAGAUUUCGGGUCAAUUUCGCGAAAAGGGUUUUUUGUGUGUAAUUUCGUGUUUUAAUUAAAAUUGCUAACAUUUCGCGUUAUUUCGCUUUAUUUCGCGGUUCGCGAAAAUUUCAGUGCCCUACAUAUAAGCCUUAAUCACUUUGGGAAACUUAAGCACUUCACAAAAGGUGAUAACAUCUUAAGCUACGUUUUCCAAGGACCACGCAUGCGCGAUGCGCGAUGCGUGAUGCGUCACUGCGUGACCACGCAGCACUUGAACCUGUGUGUUGAAACGGGGAUGAUUUCCAAGGCCGCGCAAGCGGGGGUUUCCCGCUCGCCGCGGCUGCGUGUCGCGGAUGGGCAUCGCGCAGCAGUUGCCUGGCCCCCGACUUCAGCGUGAUCACGCAUGCGAUUUAUCUGGAGUCAAAGAGUUUUACUGCAGAACAGGACGAGAAAUUGAUUGAUUUAGUAAGGGAGCAUCGUGUGUUAUAUGAUUUGCAUCACUGCAAGUACAAAGACAGUAUUGUUCGAGAAAAUGUGUGGAAGGAAAUUGCAGCUUCUUUAAACAAAGGUGCAGAAGACUGCAAAACGAGAUGGAGAACCAUUCGCGACUCCUACAGAAAAAGCAACAAGAAACUGAAAACUGGGUCGAAGACAGGUUCACCGGCAUUUUCAAAAUCGAAAUACAACACAGAAAGCCUGAAAUUCCUUGAUGAAACCUACAAAGAAAGAGCAUCAAAAUCAAGCAUCAACAUAAAUGAAAUAAUUGAAAAUAAUCAAGAAACACAAGAAAUGGUGGAUGACUGUCCCUCUGAAGAGUGCAACCAAUUUCAAGAAGAAGAAAGCGCUCAAGAAUCUACAAAUUGGCCUAGCGAGCAAACAAGUUCUUCAGAAUUGUUAAACAGCUCCAUUAAAAAAAGAAAAAUUACAGUAAAAGAAAAAAUGUUAGAUGAAAUAAGAAAAGGUCGUGAAGAAAGAGGGAAAAUAUUAAAAGAUCUACUUGAAAACCGCGGCCAAGAUCGUUCGCAACAUCCGAUAGACAUAUUCUUCCAGAGCAUGUCUGAAACUGUUAAGCAAUUCCCCCCACACCUCAUUGCGGAAACUAGAUUAAAAGUGUGCCAAGUUGUGUCUCAGAUGGAACUGAGAUCGUUGAUGGAGCAUCAGAACCAGACUAAUCCUAAUCACCAACAAUGUUAUCAACAUGUGGAUAUUGGCAGCGGUUUUCCUGUCUCUGUCAUAGAUCCCACCCAAAUUUGUGAAUCUACUGGCAGUAAUAGCUUGAUUCAUUCAACAGAUAGCUGUAAUUCUAGUGGUAACGAUGCUAAUGUGGAAGAAAGUGACUUCGUGAGACUAAUUUAGAAAAUAACCAGUAUUAGUUCUGUGAGUAGAUGAAUGCAUAGUCAGAGACAUUUUAGGAAAUUCAUCAGUACAUGGACAUUUAAAUUUUUAUUAAACCUAUAAUUUCAA